UACAGAGGUCCCAAGCGUUGUUCGGAUUCACUGGGCGUAAAGGGUGCGUAGGCGGUCGGGUAAGUCUGAUGUGAAAUCUCACAGCUUAACUGUGAAACUGCAUUGGAUACUAUCCGGCUUGAGGAAUGGAGGGGAGACUGGAAUACUUGGUGUAGCAGUGAAAUGCGUAGAUAUCGAGAGGAACACCAGUGGCGAAGGCGAGUCCCUGGACAAAACCUGACACUGAGGCACGAAAGCUAGGGGAGCAAACAGG
This 253-nucleotide ribosomal RNA is filed under the name uncultured bacterium. Its description in RNAcentral is "partial 16S ribosomal RNA". It matches the Rfam family "Bacterial small subunit ribosomal RNA", at positions 524 to 776 of the family's 1533-position model. The record is from RNAcentral.